UCCAUCUAUGCACGUAAGCCAAAGAUGACUUUCAUCACAAUAUAAGCAUGAGGAUGAUGACAAUGAUAUAAGCAUUAAUCAAACAAAAUCAAGGAUAAAUAUUAAAGACUUUAAAUUUAUCCAGAGUUUAAAAAUAUCCAAAUUGUCAACAUGAUACUGCUUUGUGGAGUAAAAUUCAAGAAUAAUAUUCAUGUACCAAAAAUAAUUUGGAUAGAAAAGAAAUAUAUUUUUUGGGUAAAUAGUACCCCGUAAAUAGUAACUCAUAAAUAGUAACUCGUAAAUAGUACUCCGUAUUCGUACAUAAUACCGUAUACAUAAAUAAUGUCAUAAACGCAAAUAGUGCCAUAUACAUGAAUAGUGUCGUAUAUGUGAAUAGUAUCGUAUACGUGAAUAGUAACCCCGACACAAAAAAGAUAAAGUUUCACAAUAAAAUCCAUAUCAAUAUUUAUAACACCUUAAUCCAAAU
This 466-nucleotide long non-coding RNA is filed under the name Panax ginseng (ginseng). RNAcentral describes it as "long non-coding RNA (PGIN_LNC005620)". Lineage: Eukaryota; Viridiplantae; Streptophyta; Magnoliopsida; Apiales; Araliaceae. The record is from RNAcentral.